RNAcentral lists this long non-coding RNA (599 nucleotides) under Mustela putorius furo (domestic ferret). RNAcentral's name for it is "lncRNA (ENSMPUG00000026645.1)". Lineage: Eukaryota; Metazoa; Chordata; Mammalia; Carnivora; Mustelidae. The record is from RNAcentral.
GGAAUAAAGAGCUCUUGCUGAAGGAUUAGUGAGUGUCUUAGUCUGUUCAGGCAGCCCAGAUCCUUAGUGUGCCUCAGCUUUGGCCACCAACUGAAGAGGUUAGAUGACUUUACUUUAAAGCUCUACAUGGUCCUAAACCUCACCAGUUCCCAUUGAAAACUGACCAUUUUGCCAAAGGAGGAAUACAAUGUCCAACAGGCACAUGAAAAGUUGUUCAACAUCACUAAUCAUCAAGAAAUACAGAUCAAAACCACAAUGAGAUAUCACCUCUUACCAGCACUCCAUCCAGUCCAAAUGAUUACCUGGCUCACGCUAACACACUCUGUGCCUGCUGACUUAAGGCCCUUGAUCUGUAAUAGAAUUGAUUUGAUUUCUUUGAUAUCUGCAGACCACUGACCUUGGGAAUGAAGGACCAGAAUGUCCCCAGGCCGCAAAGGCCAGGAAGUCUAUUUGAAGCCACCUCAACUUUCUGAUCGCCCAGCAAUCUCAGGAUCAAAAGCUUCUGCACAGCAAAGGAAACAGCCAACAAAGCAAAGAGGCAACCCACGGAAUGGGAGAAGGUAUUUGCAAAUGACAGUACAGACAAAGGUUGAUAUCCA